UAAUAUGCGAAAGUUUCACGUCGUAUAGUCUUGGAAAGACGGUCCAAGCGUUUCUACCCGAUUCCAAUCUAAUCGGACUACGGUGUGAAGUAUUAAGGAU
Molecule: non-coding RNA, 100 nt
Filed under: Erysipelothrix larvae
Lineage: Bacteria; Bacillati; Bacillota; Erysipelotrichia; Erysipelotrichales; Erysipelotrichaceae
Description: Guanine sequence
Rfam family: Purine riboswitch aptamer
About the family: Riboswitches are metabolite binding domains within certain messenger RNAs that serve as precision sensors for their corresponding targets.
Source: Rfam by way of RNAcentral